CUGUGUGUUUACAGGUAGUUGCAACAGCGGGAUUUUAUCUUAUUAGAAUGCAUUCGCCAAAAGCCACAAAAUACAGCUGAACGGAUUUCUACAAAUACCACAGGAGUCUCUUGCAUUUGGGAACUUUACAGUCCUAUUGGUCAAACAACCAUGAAACGGCUGAUCCACGGCAUCCAUGGGGGGACAGAUUGGCAGAGCUACAGGGCAGCAGCUGAGCAGACAGGGGUAGCUGAUCACUCCUUGAUACACUGGCUCACAGCACUCACGUGCAAUGCUUUCAAUUGCCCUGUAAAAGAUGCAGCAGCAGCUUCAUAGUAAUACAGAUGUGGGAUCUUAAAUUGAUCACUCUGUUGUUGCUGAGAAUCUUCCUGAGCCAUAGGAAAUGCAGUUUUCCCGGUGUUGACCUCUCUGCCUGCCCUGUCCCUGAG
Oncorhynchus gorbuscha (pink salmon) is the source of this 428-nucleotide long non-coding RNA. RefSeq lists it as uncharacterized. NCBI's taxonomy places the organism in Eukaryota, Metazoa, Chordata, Actinopteri, Salmoniformes, Salmonidae. The transcript is spliced from 3 exons. The record is from RefSeq and is a predicted model, not a curated record.